This 238-nucleotide ribosomal RNA is filed under the name uncultured bacterium. RNAcentral describes it as "partial 16S ribosomal RNA". It matches the Rfam family "Bacterial small subunit ribosomal RNA", at positions 100 to 334 of the family's 1533-position model. The record is from RNAcentral.
CGGGACGGGUGAGUAACGCGUGGGUAACCGUGCCUCACACAGGGGAGUAACAGUUAGAAAUGACUGCUAAUACCGCAUAAGCGCACGGUCUCGCAUGGGACAGUGUGAAAAACUACCGGUGGUGUGAGAUGGACCCGCGUCUGAUUAGCUAGUUGGUGGGGUAACGGCCUACCAAGGCGACGAUCAGUAGCCGACCUGAGAGGGUGACCGGCCACAUUGGGACUGAGACACGGCCCAA